AGUUGACACCAUGCGGCUAUGAAGUGUUGAAGACUUCGCAAAUCCUUGCACAGGACAGUAUGGCAUACGAGAAAGCAAAGACAUAACUAUUGAAGGGAGAGUUCAAUUUGAUCUUCUUCAGGCAAUGCAAAGGGAUUAUAAACUUAGUUCUUACUCUUUGAAUUCUGUUUCUGCACAUUUUCUUGGCGAACAA
Molecule: long non-coding RNA, 193 nt
Organism: Dendrobium catenatum
Lineage: Eukaryota; Viridiplantae; Streptophyta; Magnoliopsida; Asparagales; Orchidaceae
Exons: 3
Source: RefSeq, a predicted model, not a curated record